This 2299-nucleotide long non-coding RNA is filed under the name Macaca mulatta (Rhesus monkey). Its description in RNAcentral is "lncRNA (ENSMMUG00000061819.1)". The record is from RNAcentral. Lineage: Eukaryota; Metazoa; Chordata; Mammalia; Primates; Cercopithecidae.
GGGACUUAGAGUCUGGCAAGUAGAAGAGGGAUUUCAUCUUGUUGGAAAAUAUAAGUUGGAAAAUCAACCCACAUGAAAUUGCGGAAGCUGAGGGGUUUCACUGAUGGAAAAAUGGAGAAGAUUUGAUGAAACAGCAAGUCCUUAAGAGUGGGAGCCAGAAGUUUAAGUUGUAACAGGUUUCAGAUGUGAUUCAGAACUUAGAGGAUAACAAACUGCAGAAAAAUUCUUUGGAAGAUAAUGAUUAGAGAAAAAUUCUGGGUCAAAGGCAGCUAUUGUGGUGCAUAUUUAUUCAGACUUCAAAUUUGAAAAGAAAUCAUUGUUUCACAGACCAAAAGGGAGAAGAGAGUUGGAGAUGAAGGUAAACCAGGAUCCCGGUUUUAACCCUGCAACACACCAGUCUCCUGAACUUGAGUAUUUCCCCUGAGAAGAUUGUUCCAGGUUCUGACACAGUCUCAUCCAGGACCAAGAUGGUUUUCUUCACUUUCCAACCCAGUGAUCUUUUAGUUUUAAUAAAUGGAGAAAGCUCACCAAAGAAGAGAAAGGACAUGCUUCACUCAGGAUGAUGGGCUGUCCCUUUUCCUUUGGAACCAGCAUAACCUUCACCAUGUCAAUAUGGAUUGCAAAGAAAUGGAAACUUGGUGCUGUUCACCUUACAGCUCCUGAUGAUUUCUUACAGUGGGGGAAAGGGAGAUUGGACUUCAAGGUCAGAGUAGCUGAACCAAGUUAUUCCAAUGUAAGAAAAAAUGCUAACAUUGAAAGGAACAAUUUUACCCUGUAAAAAUCCUCUGCCUAGGGUACUAGAAAAAUCAGAAAAGGGAGCUGGUGGAGGAAAGAACUAGAAUAAACAAAGCAAGCUCAGAACAAUUCAUUCCUAUGUUUGUUUAUUGAAACAGAACCAGGAAGGACCAACGAAGGUCUGAAUUAAUGUAAUUUAUAAGAAGAAAGGCUCCCCUCCAAGGCAAUGAAAUGAUCUCUUUCCAAAUAUGUAACCAGGAGUGGCUCCCCAUAAACCCAGGGCAUGUCAGGGCAAAGAUGGUAUUCCAGAUCUUUACAGCCUCCCCAGUUUUUGCCUCAGAGAGAGUUCCUAAUUAACCAUUUAGGGAUUCAGAAUUGUUAAUCAAAGUUGCUCUGAUGAAAUUUUGAGGGUUGUUCUAUUUCUUGUCACAAGUUGAAUUGUUUAAAAGUACUGCCUCAGAGAUCUGAUUUUCCGCAUUAUGCCAGCAUUUUCUUACCUUAGGGCAGGCAAAGGGCUAGUCAGACUUUAAAAUUGGAACUUCUUCCAUUUUUUUCCCUCAGAGCAUUUGAAGUUUGUUUGUUUGGUCUGUUUGUUUUGUGUCUGUUACAGUUCUUUAUUUUGCUUUUCAAGUGCAAAGUUACUGUGCUGGUGAUGAUAGAAGGGAUACAUAAAGGAAGGAAAAAACUUGCUCAAGGAAGUUCACAGAGUGGAUACUCUAUAUCCAAUAAUAACAGUGAGGAAAGAAAGAAUGCAGUUGAAGAUAUGAGGGGCAAAGUAAUACAGAGAUUUUCACAGAUUUAGAAGAUUGCUGCCCAGAUCCUUCUGUUUCUCUCUUUUUGUUCCUAGUGAGAGUUAUUAAAAUAGCUAACAUCUACAUGCCCAUUCUGCACAGAAAGGGAUAUAUGAAGAAAGCAAGAAACCACUAGCCUAUGUGUAGGGUGAUAUGCCUUACAGCCAUGCUCAGUUACUAUUUUUGGUCAUGGGCCUAGAAAUAACCAUCUGGGCAAUCAGACUUCUGCAUUGACAUGCAAUGUUGGCUAAAUCCACAGGCAGCUGGCUGAGUAGUAUUUAAACUCAGUGCUGAGAUAGGAGUAGGCCCUGACAGGCAGUAGUUAGGGGACACUCAUCUAUUCUACCCAUGUCAACAGUAAUGAUACUGUAAUUCUUUCCAAAAUGUGGUCCUUUUUGCUAUGUUUUGACAAGCUGGCUGUUAUUCUAACUUUCUGUAUUAUUGGAAACACAUAGGCUAGACAUUGAUACACAUAUAUGCAUAUGCAUGUGUUUAUGUGGCUGUAUAUAGUUAUGGAAGAAUCCAUGAGAGUCAGUCUUCCAUAUUUAUUAAGUAUGUACACUAUGCAAAGCACUUUAUUGUGUGAUAUAGAAAAAUAUGGAAAAAUUGUAAGCAUACUAAGUCCAGGAGAGGUUGAUUCACCUAUGUUCCAGAACCUCACUUUGUGUUUCUAUUAAGUGACUUAUUGGGAUCAGGCAGUAUCCAAUAUCAUUUCUAGGUCUUUAAUUCUAUGAGUCCAUCAUUUUGGAUAAAAAUUAAAUAUACAGUUAAAA